CCUACGGGGGGCAGCAGUGGGGAAUAUUGCACAAUGGGGGAAACCCUGAUGCAGCGACGCCGCGUGAGCGAGGAAGUAUUUCGGUAUGUAAAGCUCUGUCAGCAGGGAAGAAGAAUGACGGUACCUGAAGAAGAAGCACCGGCUAAAUACGUGCCAGCAGCCGCGGUAAUACGUAUGGUGCAAGCGUUAUCCGGAUUUACUGGGUGUAAAGGGAGCGUAGACGGCUAUGCAAGUCUGGAGUGAAAGGCGGGGGCCCAACCCCCGGACUGCUCUGGAAACUGUAGAGCUAGAGUGCAGGAGAGGUA
This 305-nucleotide ribosomal RNA is filed under the name uncultured bacterium. RNAcentral describes it as "bacterial SSU rRNA". It matches the Rfam family "Bacterial small subunit ribosomal RNA", at positions 338 to 659 of the family's 1533-position model. The record is from RNAcentral.